GCUUGGGAAGCGUUAUCCGGAAUUAUUGGGCGUAAAGAGCUCGUAGGCGGUUUGUCGCGUCUGCCGUGAAAGUCCGGGGCUCAACUCCGGAUCUGCGGUGGGUACGGGCAGACUAGAGUGAUGUAGGGGAGACUGGAAUUCCUGGUGUAGCGGUGAAAUGCGCAGAUAUCAGGAGGAACACCGAUGGCGAAGGCAGGUCUCUGGGCAUUAACUGACGCUGAGGAGCGAAAGCAUGGGGAGCGAACAGGAUUAGAUACCCUGGUAGUCCAUGCCGUAAACGUUGGGCACUAGGUGUGGGGGACAUUCCACGUUUUCCGCGCCGUAGCUAACGCAUUAAGUGCCCCGCCUGGGGAGUACGGCCGCAAGGCUAAAACUCAAAGGAAUUGACGGGGGCCCGCACAAGCGGCGGAGCAUGCGGAUUAAUUCGAUGCAACGCGAAGAACCUUACCAAGGUUUGACAUGANCCGGAAAGAUCUGGAAACAGGUCCCCCACUUGUGGUCGGUUUACAGGUGGUGNAUGGNUGUCGUCAGCUCGUGUCGNGANAUGUUGGGUUAAGUCCCGCAACGAGCGCAACCCUCGUUCUAUGUUGCCAGCACGUGAUGGUGGGGACUCAUAGGAGACUGCCGGGGUCAACUCGGAGGAAGGUGGGGACGACGUCAAAUCAUCAUGCCCCUUAUGUCUUGGGCUUCACGCAUGCUACAAUGGCCGGUACAAAGGGUUGCGAUACUGUGAGGUGGAGCUAAUCCCAAAAAGCCGGUCUCAGUUCGGAUUGGGGUCUGCAACUCGACCCCAUGAAGUCGGAGUCGCUAGUAAUCGCAGAUCAGCAACGCUGNGGUGAAUACGUUCCCGGGACUNGUACACACCGCCC
RNAcentral lists this ribosomal RNA (869 nucleotides) under Arthrobacter sp. 'SMCC B0776'. Its description in RNAcentral is "bacterial SSU rRNA". It matches the Rfam family "Bacterial small subunit ribosomal RNA", at positions 529 to 1395 of the family's 1533-position model. The record is from RNAcentral. Lineage: Bacteria; Bacillati; Actinomycetota; Actinomycetes; Micrococcales; Micrococcaceae.